Molecule: ribosomal RNA, 904 nt
Filed under: uncultured Bacillota bacterium
Lineage: Bacteria; Bacillati; Bacillota
Description: bacterial SSU rRNA
Rfam family: Bacterial small subunit ribosomal RNA
Source: RNAcentral
AACGAGAACCUCCCUUCGGGGAGGGGACAGUGGCGCACGGGUGAGUAACACGUGGGUAAUUUACCUUUGGGUGGGGAACAACAGCCGGAAACGGCUGCUAAUACCGCAUAAUGCAGCGGCUCGACAUCGAGACAGUUGUUAAAGCGGGGGAUCGCAAGACCUCGCGCCUGAAGAGAAGCCCGCGGCAGAUUAGCUAGUUGGUAGGGUAAUGGCCUACCAAGGCGACGAUCUGUAACCGGCCUGAGAGGGCGGUCGGUCACACUGACACUGACAUACGGGUCAGACUCCUACGGGAGGCAGCAGUCGGGAAUUUUGGGCAAUGGGCGAAAGCCUGACCCAGCAACGCCGCGUGAAGGAUGAAGCUUUUCGGAGUGUAAACUUCACAAGAAUUGGAAGAAUAAGUGUGGGAUAAUACCCUUCACGAUGACGGUACCAUUUGUAAGCUCCGGCUAACUCCGUGCCAGCAGCCGCGGUAAUACGGGGGGAGCAAGCGUUGUUCGGAUUUACUGGGCGUAAAGGGCGCGUAGGCGGCGCGACAAGUCACUUGUGAAAUCUCUGGGCUCAACCCAGAACGGUCAAGUGAUACUGUCGUGCUAGAGUGCGGAAGGGGCAACUGGAAUUCUUGGUGUAGCGGUGAAAUGCGUAGAUAUCAAGAGGAACACCUGCGGCGAAGGCGGGUUGCUGGGCCGACACUGACGCUGAGGCGCGAAAGCUAGGGGAGCGAACGGGAUUAGAUACCCCGGUAGUCCUAGCCUUAAACGAUGAAUGCUUGGUGUCCGGAGUUAGAUAGUCUCCGGGUGCCGUCGCUAACGCUUUAAGCAUUCCGCCUGGGGAGUACGGUCGCAAGACUGAAACUCAAGGAAUUGACGGGGACCCGCACAAGCGGUGGAGCAUGUGGUUUAAU